Molecule: ribosomal RNA, 430 nt
Filed under: uncultured bacterium
Lineage: Bacteria
Description: bacterial SSU rRNA
Rfam family: Bacterial small subunit ribosomal RNA
Source: RNAcentral
UGGGGAAUAUUGCGCAAUGGGCGAAAGCUUGACGCAGUGACACCGUGUGAAGGAUGAAGGCCUUCGGGUCGUAAACUUCUGUCAAUUGGGGACGAAGGUGCUGAGGUUAAUACCCUUUAGCACUGACGGUACCUAAUAAGGAAGUCUCGGCUAACUCCGUGCCAGCAGCCGCGGUAAGACGGAGGAGGCAAGCGUUGUCCGGAAUCAUUGGGCGUAAAGAGCACGUAGGCUGUUUUCCAAGUCAUAUGUGAAAACCUCAGGCUUAACUUGAGGAUUGCAUUUGAAACUGGAUAACUUGAGUGCAGUAGGGGAAAGUGGAAUUUCUGGUGUAGCGGUGAAAUGCGCAGAUAUCAGGAAGAACACCGGUAGCGAAGGCGGCUUUCUGGGCUGCUACUGACGCUGAGGUGCGAAAGCUAGGGGAGCAAACAGG